UACGUAGGUGGCGAGCGUUAUCCGGAAUCAUUGGGCGUAAAGAGGGAGCAGGCGGCAGUGCAGGUCUGCGGUGAAAGCCCGAAGCUAAACUUCGGUAAGCCGUGGAAACCGCACAGCUAGAGAGCAUCAGAGGAUCGCGGAAUUCCAUGUGUAGCGGUGAAAUGCGUAGAUAUAUGGAGGAACACCAGUGGCGAAGGCGGCGGUCUGGGGUGCAGCUGACGCUCAGUCCCGAAAACGUGGGGAGCAAAUAGG
This 252-nucleotide ribosomal RNA is filed under the name uncultured bacterium. RNAcentral describes it as "partial 16S ribosomal RNA". It matches the Rfam family "Bacterial small subunit ribosomal RNA", at positions 524 to 776 of the family's 1533-position model. The record is from RNAcentral.